AACAAGGCGUACCUGCGGACCUGCGGAGGGAUCAUUACCGAGUGUGAACCCCCCCGUAAAAAAGAGGGGUUACCUCCCGUCCUUUGCUGGGAACCCCUUUCCAACUUGGAAGGAGGUUGUUUUCAGACCCUUCUGCUUCGGUGGGGUAACCCACCGGAACAACCUCAAAAAUAUUCUCAAUUCAAAACCGUUCAGUCCGAGAACUUCUUUGAAAAGCGAAAAAACUUUCAACAACGGAUC
This 240-nucleotide unclassified non-coding RNA is filed under the name soil metagenome. RNAcentral's name for it is "partial contains 5.8S ribosomal RNA, internal transcribed spacer 2, and large subunit ribosomal RNA". The record is from RNAcentral.